UCCUUGCGCAUUGAGGGCACGUGAGCAC
This 28-nucleotide small RNA is filed under the name Bombyx mori (domestic silkworm). RNAcentral's name for it is "ovarian small RNA-28062". Lineage: Eukaryota; Metazoa; Arthropoda; Insecta; Lepidoptera; Bombycidae. The record is from RNAcentral.